GACGGUACAGGUAGAUAGCUUGCUAUUUAUGCUGACGAGUGGUCGGACGGGUAGAGUAAGGACUGGGAAACUGCCCGAUAGACGGGGGACAACAGUUGGAAACGACUGCUAAUACCGCAUGAACCCUGAGGGGGAAAGAAGAAAUUCGCUAUCGGAUGUGCCCAGUUGGGAUUAGCUAGUAGGGGUGGUAAAGGCACACCUAGGCGAUGAUCUCUAGCUGGUCUGAGAGGAUGAUCAGCCACAUUGGGACUGAGACACGGCCCAGACUCCAUACGGGAGGCAGCAGUAGGGAAUAUUGCACAAUGGAGGAAACUCUGAUGCAGCCAUGCCGCGUGUGUGAAGAAGGCCUUCGGGUUGUAAAGCACUUUCGGAGGGGAGGAGAAAGGACGUUACCCUCAGAGGAAGCACCGGCUAACUCCGUGCCAGCAGCCGCGGUAAUACGGAGGGUGCGAGCGUUAAUCGGAAUAACUGGGCGUAAAGGGCAUGCAGGCGGUUGGACAAGUAAGGUGUGAAAUACCGGGGCUUAACUUCGGGGCUGCACUUUAAACUAUCCGGCUAGAGUAUUGCAGAGGGAGACGGAAUUCCAGGUGUAGCGGUGGAAUGCGUAGAUAUCUGGAAGAACACCGGAGGCGAAGGCGGUCUCCUGGGCAAAUACUGACGCUCAGAUGCGAAAGCGUGGGGAGCAAACAGGAUUAGAUACCCUGGUAGUCCACGCUGUAAAACGAUGUCGAUUAGAAGUUCGAGCAAAAGCUUGGGUUUCGUAGCAAACGCGCUAAAUCGACCGCCUGGGGAGUACGGCCGCAAGGUUAAAACUCAAAUGAAUUGACGGGGGCCCGCACAAGCGGUGGAGCAUGUGGUUUAAGUUCGACGCAACGCGAAGAACCUUACCUGAUCCUGACAUCGCGGGAAUUGCUCUUAGGGGAGCAAGUGCCUUCGGGAGCCCGCAGACAGGUGCUGCAUGGCAUGUCGUCUAGCUCGUGUCGUGAGUAUGUUCGGGCUUAAGUCCAACAGCGAUACGGUAGGCCGAGCCGAAGAAUCCGCCCGUUUGGUCCCGCCGUUGUUUUGUGUGUUUGUGGGCCACCAAAGGGCGCUGGUGGGGCGUUAAAGAGAAGGCCACGGGAACUGCCAAGAAAGGGAAGAACUGGGCCAAAGGUGGAGCAAGAAAACUUGGGGAGGAAGGCAGGGAUGACGUCAAGUCAUCAUGGCCCUUACGGUCAGGGCUACACACGUGCUACAAUGGGGCGUACAGAGGGAGACGAAGCCGCGAGGCGGAGUGGAACCCACAAAGCGUCCCUCAGUUCGGACUGGAGUCUGCAACCCGACUCCACGAAGUCGGAAUCGCUAGUAAUCGCAAAUCAGAAUGUUGCGGUGAAUACGUUCCCGGGCCUUGUACACACCGCCCGUCACACCAUGGGAGUGAAUUGCACCGGAAGUAGCUUGCCUAACCGUAAGGA
This 1454-nucleotide ribosomal RNA is filed under the name uncultured bacterium. Its description in RNAcentral is "bacterial SSU rRNA". It matches the Rfam family "Bacterial small subunit ribosomal RNA". The record is from RNAcentral.